GAUGAACGCUAGCGGCAGGCUUAAUACAUACAAGUUGAGGGGCAGCAUGACUGUAGCAAUACAGUUGAUGGCGACCGGCAAACGGGUGCGGAACACGUACAGAACCUUCCUUCGAGCGGGGAAUAGCCCAGAGAAAUUUGGAUUAAUACCCCAUAGUAUAUCGGAGUGGCAUCACUUUGAUAUUAAAGAUUUAUCACUUGAAGAUGGCUGUGCGGCUGAUUAGGUAGUUGGCGGGGUAACGGCCAACCAAGCCUGCGAUCAGUAACUGGUGUGAGAGCACGACCAGUCACAUGGGCACUGAGACACGGGCCCGACUCCUACGGGAGGCAGCAGUAAGGAAUAUUGGUCAAUGGACGAAAGUCUGAACCAGCCAUGCCGCGUGGAGGAUGAAGGUCCUCUGGAUUGUAAACUUCUUUUAUAUGGGACGAAAAAAGGCUUUUCUAAGUCGUCUGACGGUACCAUAUGAAUAAGCACCGGCUAACUCCGUGCCAGCCGCCGCCGUAA
This 504-nucleotide ribosomal RNA is filed under the name uncultured bacterium. Its description in RNAcentral is "partial 16S ribosomal RNA". It matches the Rfam family "Bacterial small subunit ribosomal RNA", at positions 28 to 523 of the family's 1533-position model. The record is from RNAcentral.